CUGCCAAAAUAAAGAGUUGCUGGGAUUUGAGUGCGACUGGAACCCACACCUGUGAAUUUUGCUUGGCUCACCCGCAGCCCGGUCUCUACGAGCGAGCGUUUGGCUUUUGGCCGAACGGGGCAUGUGUUGGUUUUCUGGCCGAAUGGUGCA
Molecule: long non-coding RNA, 150 nt
Organism: Thalassophryne amazonica
Lineage: Eukaryota; Metazoa; Chordata; Actinopteri; Batrachoidiformes; Batrachoididae
Exons: 4
Source: RefSeq, a predicted model, not a curated record